CUUGAUCUAUAUAAUCAAAAGUUAAAAUAUUAUCUUGAUUGUGAUCAAGCAUGGGUUUUUAGUUUGGUUCAAGUCAGAUCAAUGGUUGAACCCAAUUGAACAUCCAAAUCCUAGUAUGUCUUAGAGAUAUGUUUUAGUUAAAUACAUAAUGUAUAUAUAGAGUUUUUUUUAGUAGCCUAGUACUUGAAUUGGGAUUCAUCACCAGGCC
Molecule: long non-coding RNA, 208 nt
Filed under: Elaeis guineensis (African oil palm)
Lineage: Eukaryota; Viridiplantae; Streptophyta; Magnoliopsida; Arecales; Arecaceae
Description: long non-coding RNA (EGUI_LNC039072)
Source: RNAcentral